CUUCAAACUGGUUGGGAAAGUACCUACAGCAUCAUCAUGCAGUGUGACAGAACAUUCACACUGUGGUUGAGAAAGCCCCUGAACCAUCUUUAAGGGGAGUGGCUGAACAUUCACCUUGUGGUUGAGAAAACCCCAGCAUCCUGAUGGGCUGUGGCUGGACCUUCACACUGUGAUCAGGAAAGCAUGUCUAGGAUCAUCAUGAGAUGUGGCUGAACAUUCACAUUGUGUUUAGGAAAGCACCUUUACCAUCUACCUGGGCUGUAGCUGAACAUUCAUACUGUGGGAAACGCCUUCAAGAAUAUUCUUAGGUUAUUCCUAAAUCUUCACACUGGUUGAGAAACCACCUCCAGCACCUUCAUAAAAUAUGAGUGAACUUUCACAUUGUGGCUGAAAAAUGUCUUCUGGCAUCUUCCUAGUGUGUACUGAACAUUCACACUGUGGUUGGGAAACCCUCCAGCAGCAUUAUGGGCUCUGGCUGACCUUUAUACUGUGGUUGGAAAACCACCUCCAGGAUCUUCAUGGGAUGUGCCUGAACCUUCACAGAGUAGUUGGGGAAGCAUCUCAAGCACCAUCAUGGGAGGUGUUGCUGGACCUUUACACUGGUUUGGAAAGUGCCUCUAAGAUUUUCAAAGUUAUGGCUGGACAUCCACAUUGUGAUUGGGAAGCCCCCUCCAGAGUAUUCUUGGAGUGUUUCUAAACCUUCACAUUGGUUUGGAAACCACCUCCAGCAUCUUCAUGGGUUGUGUCUAGACCUUUGUGCUGUGGUUGGCAAACAACCUCCAGCAUCUUCAUAGGGUGUGGCUGGACCUUCACAAUGUGGUUGAGAAACUGCCUCCAGUAUCAUCAUGGAGUGUGGCUGAACAUUCAUGUGGCUGGGAAACCACCUCCAGAAUCUUUAUGGGAUAUGACUGAACCUUCACAUUGUGAUCGGGAAAGUACCUCCAGCAGCAUCAUUGGGUGAUGUUUAACAUUCACAUUGUGGUUAGGAAGCCACCUCCAGCAUCAUUAUGGAGUGUGACUGAACCUUCACAGUGUUGUUGAAAAAAUAACCUCCAUCAUCUUCAAGGGGAGUGGCUGACCAUUCAUUUUGUGGCUGGGAAACCACCUUGAGCAUUUUCAUGGGCCUAAACAUUCACACUGUGGUUGGGAAACCACCUCCAGGAUCUUCAUGGGCUGUGGCUGGACCUUCAUUCUGUGUUUUAAAAGCACCUUCAGAAACAUCACAGGGUGUGUUUGAACAUUUAAAUUGUAGUUAUGAAACCACCUUUAGCAUCUGUAUGGGCUGUAGCUGAACAUUCACACUGUGGUUGGAAAUCUGUUUCCACCAUCUUCAUGGGAUGUAGCUGAACAUCAUCACAUUGUAGUAGGGAAACCUCCAACAUCUUCAGUGGGUGUGGCUGAACUUUAACACUGUGGUUCAGAAAUCACCUCCAGGAUCAACAUGUGUGGCUAAACAUCUCAUUGUGGUUGGGAAACUGCAUCAAACAUCUGCAUGGAUGUGAGUGCACAUCCCUUCUGUGGUUGUCAACCACCUCCACCAUCUUCAUGAGGCUGACUAUAUCUUUACGUAGUGGUUGGGGAAGUGUGCCCACCAUCUUCAAGGGGUGUGGCUGAAUCUUAAAACCAUAGUUGGAAAAUCACCUCCAGUGUCCUCAAGGCAGUAGAUGAACAUUCUCACUGUGGCUAGGAAACCACUUCCAGAAUCUUCAUGGAGUGUGGCUAAACUUUCACACUGUGGUAGCAAAACUCCCUCCAGCAUCUUCAAGGAAUGUAACUGAACACCCAUUCUAUGGUUGGGAAACCACCUCCAGCAUCUUCAUGGGAUGUAGCUGAAUAUCACAUUGUGGUGGGGAAACGGCCUUUGGCAUCUACAUGGGAUGUGACUGGAUACCCAUCCUGUACUUGGGAAGCCACCUCCAGCAUCCAUGGGGUGUGGCUGGACACCACCCUGCAGUGAGGAAACAUUUCCAGUAUCUUUCUUCAUGUGCUGGACACUGUUCUGUAAUCCACUGAUUGGGAAAUCAACUUCAGCAUCUUCACUGAGGUGUGGAUGGCACCCACCCUGUGGUUUGAAAACCAAGUCCAGCAUCUUCCUGGGGUCUGGCUAGAAACCCACCCUCUUCCAGGUAGACCACCUCCACAUCCUCUUGUGGUGUGUGGUGUGGUGUUCUCAAUACUCAACGCGCAGAACGCUCCUGACUCAGAUGUGCCUCAUCAGUUCUCCAGCAUCAGCUGGGUGCUCUGCAGCCCUGUUCUGUUUUGAGUCUAACCCGAGUCAGUGCAGGCUCCACAGGUGAGGGGUUUGGUCCCACACGGUUGUCCCCCACUUCAGAUGGAAUCUAAAUUAGUAGGAUCCAGGUCACUCACAACUUUGUCUGAAUUGGCUGUGACUCAGAGGUCCCCAAACUCCCUCCUUGGGUUCUGAAAUUUUUUAGGGAGUCUACAGAACUCAGGGAAACACAUGACUUACAUUCACCCAUUUAUUAUAAAGGAUAUUACAAAGGAGGCAUCUGGGAAGCUGGGUGGAGAAGGUGGAGAGGGACCUGUGGCGAGGUAUGGGGAAGGGGCCCAGUACUUUCGUGUCCUCCCUGGGGUGCCACCCUCCCAGCACUCCAUGUGCUGGGCAUCUUGGAAGCUGUCUGACCCAUCUUUAAGGAGACUUUGAUACAUUAACCACUAAACCACUCUGGG
Molecule: long non-coding RNA, 2691 nt
Organism: Heterocephalus glaber (naked mole-rat)
Lineage: Eukaryota; Metazoa; Chordata; Mammalia; Rodentia; Bathyergidae
Source: Ensembl